This 814-nucleotide ribosomal RNA is filed under the name Alternaria consortialis. RNAcentral's name for it is "eukaryotic LSU rRNA". It matches the Rfam family "Eukaryotic large subunit ribosomal RNA", at positions 93 to 925 of the family's 3401-position model. The record is from RNAcentral. Lineage: Eukaryota; Fungi; Ascomycota; Dothideomycetes; Pleosporales; Pleosporaceae.
GUGAAGCGGCAACAGCUCAAAUUUGAAAUCUGGCUCUUUUAGAGUCCGAGUUGUAAUUUGCAGAGGGCGCUUUGGCUUUGGCAGCGGUCCAAGUUCCUUGGAACAGGACGUCACAGAGGGUGAGAAUCCCGUACGUGGUCGCUGGCUAUUGCCGUGUAAAGCCCCUUCGACGAGUCGAGUUGUUUGGGAAUGCAGCUCUAAAUGGGAGGUACAUUUCUUCUAAAGCUAAAUAUUGGCCAGAGACCGAUAGCGCACAAGUAGAGUGAUCGAAAGAUGAAAAGCACUUUGGAAAGAGAGUCAAACAGCACGUGAAAUUGUUAAAAGGGAAGCGCUUGCAGCCAGACUUGCUUACAGUUGCUCAUCCGGGCUUUUGCCCGGUGCACUCUUCUGUAGGCAGGCCAGCAUCAGUUUGGGCGGUAGGAUAAAGGUCUCUGUCACGUACCUCCCUUCGGGGAGGCCUUAUAGGGGAGACGACAUACUACCAGCCUGGACUGAGGUCCGCGCAUCUGCUAGGAUGCUGGCGUAAUGGCUGUAAGCGGCCCGUCUUGAAACACGGACCAAGGAGUCUAACAUCUAUGCGAGUGUUUGGGUGUCAAGCCCGAGCGCGUAAUGAAAGUGAACGGAGGUGGGAACCCGCAAGGGUGCACCAUCGACCGAUCCUGAUGUCUUCGGAAGGAUUUGAGUAAGAGCAUGGCUGUUGGGACCCGAAAGAUGGUGAACUAUGCUUGAAUAGGGUGAAGCCAGAGGAAACUCUGGUGGAGGCUCGCAGCGGUUCUGACGUGCAAAUCGAUCGUCAAAUUUGGGCAUAGGGGCG